CUUUAUUGCUACAUUCCUUUUUGGUGCUUAUUUCACUCAUGCUUCUGAGAGGAAAUGUGAUGAAAUAAAAUUUGGAAGAGGGACAUAUGACAAGAAAAAGGAAUGCUGGAAGUCUGCGCCCACGAAACCGAAUUUGAAGGUCAAGUCUGACGGUCAAUCUUUGUCAAUCAGGAGAAAGAUUCAGCGUGCAUUAAAAUGCAGACCGGGAAUAAAAAAGUUUCUUGAUCAAGAAUCGUGUGACUGCAAUCCGAGCAAAUUGUCAAAUAUUGGACUGAAAAACGUCUGCCGACACAAGUUUAAGUACGUUACAAAGAUAAUCAAAAAUGGAAAAAAAUGCUAUGUUGUAUUUCCACAACGGCAAUGUAUAACAUACGCAGACUGUGACAGACAACGGGGUUGCUCCAAGAGAGCCCGCGUAACAAGUGCCUGUUUGCCUGAUCGACACCGUUACUUCAAUGUCUGGGUAUUCUGUCCUCACAAUCAUCGGUUUGAACUGGAAACCCUGGAGUUACCUCAAUGCUGUACCUGCAGAGAAUACAAACUCUGUAGGUAAGAAACGAAAGUAACAGAGAAGAAAGCACCAUAGUAUGGGAAUUCAAUGUUGUAACACUGAAAAAGGUGAAAAGACAGAUGGUAGAAUCUCUCUGGAGUUUGAGCAAUGGCAGAACCUUUAAUAUGUUACAGAUUCUC
This is a long non-coding RNA of Saccostrea echinata, 690 nucleotides long. RefSeq lists it as uncharacterized. The transcript has 4 exons. Lineage: Eukaryota; Metazoa; Mollusca; Bivalvia; Ostreida; Ostreidae. The record is from RefSeq and is a predicted model, not a curated record.